This 195-nucleotide ribosomal RNA is filed under the name Triticum aestivum (bread wheat). RNAcentral describes it as "partial small subunit ribosomal RNA". The record is from RNAcentral. Lineage: Eukaryota; Viridiplantae; Streptophyta; Magnoliopsida; Poales; Poaceae.
AUGGAACUGCCGGGGGGGAACCGCCGAACAGUUCGUGAGGUGUUGGCACUCUGCAAAGCCAACGUCCCCAAGCUUGUUUUUCUUUGUGAAACAAGACAAGCUUUAGACAAAAUUCAGAAACUUAAAUGGAGACUAGGGCUGAAGGGUUUCCAUGGUGUUAAUAGUGAUGGAAAAAGUGGAGGUUUAGCGUUGUUU